GUGUUGUAUGAAAGGAAAGAAGGUUAGCACUUCCCUUGUCAAGGAUGGAAGAGGCCCUCGGGCCUGACAACACACAUACGGUUAAAGCAUUGCCACUAUUUCGUGGCAUCUAACCACUGUUUUUG
This 125-nucleotide non-coding RNA is filed under the name Octodon degus (degu). Lineage: Eukaryota; Metazoa; Chordata; Mammalia; Rodentia; Octodontidae. The record is from RNAcentral.